GAUGAACGCUGGCGGCGUGCCUAAUACAUGCAAGUCGAGCGAACGGACGAGAAGCUUGCUUCUCUGAUGUUAGCGGCGGACGGGGGAGUAACACGUGGAUAACCUACCUAUAAGACUGGGAUAACUUCGGGAAACCGGAGCUAAUACCGGAUAAUAUUUUGAACCGCAUGGUUCAAAAGUGAAAGACGGUCUUGCUGUCACUUAUAGAUGGAUCCGCGCUGCAUUAGCCAGUUGGUGAGGUAACGGCUUACCAAGGCAACGAUGCAUAGCCGACCUGAGAGGGUGAUCGGCCACACUGGAACUGAGACACGGUCCAGACUCCUACGGGAGGCAGCAGUAGGGAAUCUUCCGCAAUGGGCGAAAGCCUGACGGAGAAACGCCGCGUGAGUGAUGAAGGUCUUCGGAUCGUAAAACUCUGUUAUUAGGGAAGAACAUAUGUGUAAGUAACUGUGCACAUCUUGACGGUACCUAAUCAGAAAGCCACGGCUAACUACGUG
RNAcentral lists this ribosomal RNA (497 nucleotides) under uncultured bacterium. RNAcentral describes it as "partial 16S ribosomal RNA". It matches the Rfam family "Bacterial small subunit ribosomal RNA", at positions 28 to 507 of the family's 1533-position model. The record is from RNAcentral.